AGAUUUGGGAGGCUUUUAUUUUGUAAUUACACAUCAGACUGUCCUGAAACGAUGCAGCUGACAUUGUGGCAAGGUGUACUCUCAAUCUGAGGUGAAAGUGGUCUGUGCAAUCUAUAACUUUAGUUUUUAUAGAUUUUUGAAAGUAGAGAUGCAGCAUCUUUUUUAUGAGAUUUGGGAGGCUUUUAUUUUGUAAUUACACAUCAGACUGUCCUGAAACGAUGCAGCUGACAUUGUGGCAAGGUGUACUCUCAAUCUGAGGUGAAAGUGGCCUGUGCAAUCUAUAACUUUUGUUUUUAUAGAUUUUUGAAAGUAGAGAUGCAGCAGCUUUUUUAUGAGAUUUGGGAGGCUUUUAUUUUGUAAUUACACAUCAGACUGUCCUGAAACGAUGCAGCUGACAUUGUGGCAAGGUGUACUCUCAAUCUGAGGUGAAAGUGGUCUGUGCAAUCUAUAACUUUAGUUUUUAUAGAUUUUUGAAAGUAGAGAUGCAGCAUCUUUUUUAUGAGAUUUGGGAGGCUUUUAUUUUGUAAUUACACAUCAGACUGUCCUGAAACGAUGCAGCUGACAUUGUGGCAAGGUGUACUCUCAAUCUGAGGUGAAAGUGGCCUGUGCAAUCUAUAACUUUUGUUUUUAUAGAUUUUUGAAAGUAGAGAUGCAGCAGCUUUUUUAUGAGAUUUGGGAGGCUUUUAUUUUGUAAUUACACAUCAGACUGUCCUGAAACGAUGCAGCUGACAUUGUGGCAAGGUGUACUCUCAAUCUGAGGUGAAAGUGGCCUGUGCAAUCUAUAACUUAGAUUUUUAUAGAUUUUUGAAUAUAGAGAUGCAACAUCCCAUUUAUGAGAUGUGGGAGGCUCUUAUUUUGUAAUUCCACAUCAGACUGUCCUAAAACGAUGCAUCUGACAUCGUGGCAAGGUGUACUCUCAAUCAGAGGUGAAAGUGGCCUGUGCAAUCUAUAACUUUUUUUAAUAUACAUUUUUGAAAGUAGAGAUGCAACAGUUUUUUUUUAGAUGUGGGAGGCCUUUAUUUUGUAAUUACACAUCAGACUGUCCUGAAACGAUGCAUCUGACAUCGUGGCAAGGUGUACUCUCAAUCUGAGGUGAAAGUGGCCUGUGCAAUCUAGAACUUAGAUUUUUAUAGAUUUUUGAAUAUAGAGAUGCAGCAUCCUAUUUAUGAGAUUUGGGAGGCUCUUAUGUUGUAAUCUCACAUCAGACCUUCCUGAAACGAUGCAUCUGACAUUGUGGCAAGGUGUACUCUCAAUCUGAGGUGAAAGUGGCCUGUGCAAUCUAUAACUUUUUUUAAUAUACAUUUUUGAAAGUAGAAAUGCAACAGUUUUUUUUUUAGAUGUGGGAGGCCUUUAUUUUGUAAUUACACAUCAGACUGUCCUGAAACGAUGCAGCUGACAUUGUGGCAAGGUGUACUCUCAAUCUGAGGUGAAAGUGGCCUGUGCAAUCUAUAACUUUUUUAAAUUUACAUUUUUCAAAGUAGAGAUGCAGCAGCUUUUUUAUGAGAUUUGGGAGGCUUUUAUUUUGUAAUUACACAUCAGACUGUCCUGAAACGAUGCAGCUGACAUUGUGGCAAGGUGUACUCUCAAUCUGAGGUGAAAGUGGCCUGUGCAAUCUAUAACUUUUGUUUUUAUAGAUUUUUGAAAGUAGAGAUGCAGCAGCUUUUUUAUGAGAUUUGGGAGGCUUUUAUUUUGUAAUUACACAUCAGAUUGUCCUGAAACGAUGCAGCUGACAUUGUGGCAAGGUGUACUCUCAAUCUGAGGUGAAAGUGGCCUGUGCAAUCUAUAACUUAGAUUUUUAAAGAUUUUUCAAUGUAGAGAUGCAGCAUCCCAUUUAUGAGAUUUGGGAGGCUCUUAUUUUGUAAUUCCACAUCAGACCGUCCUGAAACAAUGCAG
Long non-coding RNA from Carassius gibelio (silver crucian carp), 1893 nucleotides. RefSeq lists it as uncharacterized. Lineage: Eukaryota; Metazoa; Chordata; Actinopteri; Cypriniformes; Cyprinidae. The transcript is spliced from 6 exons. The record is from RefSeq and is a predicted model, not a curated record.